RNAcentral lists this ribosomal RNA (510 nucleotides) under uncultured bacterium. RNAcentral's name for it is "partial 16S ribosomal RNA". It matches the Rfam family "Bacterial small subunit ribosomal RNA", at positions 28 to 507 of the family's 1533-position model. The record is from RNAcentral.
GACGAACGCUGGCGGCGUGCUUAACACAUGCAAGUCGAACGAAGAGCGACGGAAGCUUGCUUCUAUCAAUCUUAGUGGCGAACGGGUGAGUAACGCGUAAUCAACCUGCCCUUCAGAGGGGGACAACAGUUGGAAACGACUGCUAAUACCGCAUACGAUCUAACCUCGGCAUCGAGGAUAGAUGAAAGGUGGCCUCUACAUGUAAGCUAUCACUGAAGGAGGGGAUUGCGUCUGAUUAGCUAGUUGGAGGGGUAACGGCCCACCAAGGCGAUGAUCAGUAGCCGGUCUGAGAGGAUGAACGGCCACAUUGGGACUGGGACACGGCCCAGACUCCUACGGGAGGCAGCAGUGGGGAAUCUUCCGCAAUGGACGAAAGUCUGACGGAGCAACGCCGCGUGAGUGAUGACGGCCUUCGGGUUGUAAAGCUCUGUUAAUCGGGACGAAAGGCCUUCUUGCGAAUAGGGAGAAGGGUUGACGGUACCGGAAUAGAAAGCCACGGCUAACUACGUG